GUAGACGGGCCUGCUGGGAUACUCCAGGAUGACUGGGAAAGGCACGGGGCGGGGUCUCGCCGUCCGCAGAACGCCGGAAACGGAGUCCUUCCAGACGACUUCCGGUUCCGGUGUAGGCGGUGGUUGAGUUGCCAUGGCAGCGCGGUUGGCAGGAGCCUGGUUGUUGCAUCAGGGCGGUGGCCGGCCUGGAGCAGGCCUGGGCCUGGCUUUCCCAGCUUAGGCACUCGACUUAAUUCACUGCUAUACGAGCGUGGCAGGUGCACGAAUGGGUGGCAUGAGUGAUUCCGGAAGAGCAGGACUCAGUGAAACCACCAGAUCUGUAGUCUUGGAGCUGCGCUGGGUUGGUGGUACCCUAGAGCACACCAGACUUGCAGAAAAAGCAUACUGCAGAGGAAGCUGAGGCAUGACUGCUCAAGAGCCAGCAGUGCCAUGUGCAAUUUUCCUCUGAUAGUCACUGGGUACUGUUGCCACGGUGAUGAUGACUGUGCCGUGUCCUUAUCUAUCCGCCAACAGUAAGAGAAACCUUGCAGUCGAGAUAUUGUUUAACAGAUGGAGUGGUUUCUGUUGGACACUAAGUACUGCUACAAAUGACUUUUUAAAAAACCCUAUGUAUUUUAGAAAUGGUUUUAGAGGUGACCUGUUUAUGUUUUGGAGGUGCUCAGAAAAUUAAAAUCAGAAAACUAGUGCAUGUGCUGUCAGCAAAUGAGUGUUCCAAAUAAUCAGUCAUUCGGCCCGAAGCUUGAGGCUAGGAAACUGAAGAUAAACUCCAGAUGUUGCUCAGAAGUGCUCCUCGUGCGUAUUUAUUUCAUCCCCGUCAGCGUUAUUGAUGUUUGGUAGAUUUCUAAUGUGGGACCCAAAAUGGAUCAGCUUCCUAAAGAAUCCUUUUUUUCCCCAGGUUCCUUGAUUCCAGAUAAAUCAGAGGAACAAGCUUCAUGAACAAAAAUAUAUUGGGAAUGCUGUGGCACUGCAGCGUGACUGUUGUUUCGGAAGUCUAACAUCUGGCACGCUUAACAGCUGAGAAUAUAUUAUUUCCGAAAGCACCUAGCUUUUACUCAUGCUUAUAGUAUAGUAAGUUCUUUUUUUUUUUGUUUGAGGAAGAUUAGCCCUGAUCUAACAUCUGCUGCCAAUCCUGCUCUUUUUGCUGAGGAAGCCUGGCCCUGAGCUAACAUAUGUGCCCAUCUUCCUCUACUUUAUAUGCGGAUGCCGCCACAGCGUGGCUUGCCAAGCAGUGCCAUCUCCGCACCUGGGAUCCGAACUGACGAACCCCGGGCCACUGAAGCGGAAUGUGCGCACUUAACCGCUGUGCUGUGCCACUGGGCCGGCCCCCUAAGGGAGAGGAAUUCGCAGACUUGUGUUGUGAGGACCCGGAGCGGUCCUGAGGAGUUGCAGAGCUCCUCCCUAGUGUGUAGUCCUGGCUUCGGAGGCAUAGUUGUCAACUGUUAUUGUUAAUAAGUUGAGAGUACAGCUGUCAUCAGAGAUUAAGGGUAACCCUCGAGCAGGAAGAGUACAAAGCGUGUGUUUUUCAAAAUUCCGGGAGAGUGCUGCCUACCACGGAGCGUGGCGAGAACAUGCAUGAAGUGUCAGGAUGUGGGAAAGCAUGUCGGCUCUCUUCCAGGGACCUCAGUGAUGGUUCGAGCAAAGGCAGGAAGACCAAUCAUGUAUCUGAACCGAAGAAACUGAAACAGUACAUCAAAAUUUAGGUGUUUAAUAAAAAUAUAAAACGUGAUCUCUGUUGAACAUAUUCCUUUGUCUUUGAUUUAGAACUAUUCUUGCAGUAUUGCGUCAGACAUCAGUGAUUUGAAGCAGCAAAGAAAAUAGUAUUUGAAAUAUUUCUUCCAAACCACAUGAUUCGGGCAUUUUAUAUGAUUUGGCCUUUUAGUUUUGAGGUUUCUCUUUAGAAAUUCUGUAAUGAAAACAUGACAAAAAUAUACUUCUUAAAUAAACAAUUGUCAAAAACUAUACUUAUGCUCAAAUGUAUUUGGGUGUUUAGAACACGUACGUAGAUAAUCUAUGUCAGUGUGUGAUCUCUCCCUCGUGGACAUUACUGAGGGGGUGCGGGUGGGAAGUACACAGAAACUUAUGAGAAGCCUGGGAUUUUGGUCACAAAAUGUAAUUAGACCCCAAACUAAAUAAUCAGGCCAUGUAAACAUGCUGACUCGGGCAUCCUAAAAAUGUUUUUCUUUCCUGUGCUUAUUGACAGAUAAAGCUUUAUUGAUUUGAUAAAAUUUCUCUUCCACCCACUCCUCCAAAAGCAAAUUCACGCUUGAAUCCAUAGUUACGAACCUCACACAUUGGAGAUCGUUUCUUCCUAUGUCUCAGCCCUAAACGAAGAGGCGGGGUCGCUGAAGCUAAGAGGGCGCUUUCCUUCCUGACUUCAGUCUCCAAGUCUGUGCUGCGUUCUGACAAAAGGUGUGUUUCUGUGCGUAGGACAUGCCCUACAGAAAUGUCUCGGUCCAAGCUGGCCAGAGCUUCUCUAAGUGUCAUUUUCAGGGAAAAGUGGCUACUUGGGUUGCACAAGGGGUUGAGCCACCAAACCUCCCUGAACUAAAAUACCAUUUGGGACCCAGAGUUCCGUAGACUCCAGCUGGAACCUGAACCUUCUCUCUGCUGUGACCGAGCUCUAUCCGGUAAUUUUAAAGCACCACUGCACCCUGGAAUUAACUUGAUCCCCCAGCGACCCUAAAAAUAAUGUCAUGUGAGAAACCAAGGCAAUGCCCAGCCCUCUAAGAGAAUGUUCGAUAGUCUCUAAUGCAAAGAGAGAAAUGCCCUCUGGAUGUUUACUGCGUCUAUCUGACGAGACAGCUGGCUUUAUAAAUACUUCUCUAGCCAUGGGAGCGGCCUCAGUUUUGCUAUCUCUGUUUCCCACAUCGUGUAGAGACGGGAAGCAAGGCCCCCUUAGGCCCUGCUUGCGCUGUAUCACAUAGGUCCUGCUCUCCUCGUCUGGGUAAAAUGAAGAGACAUGCUGUGCUGUGCACUGGGUUCAUUCAGUCUAAAACAGACCCUGGGAGAUGCCGAUGAAAUCAGAUUCUCUGAAGAAGCAUUUGUGAAAGUCCUGGAUGCCACAGCAGAACCUGGAUUCUGGUCUCCACACAUGUUAGAUUUGGAAUAUAGAGGUGUGAGGCCUGGUUCCAGUCCUAAGCAUCACUAAAUACUUAGGAGUUCUUUCUGAUUCUCCUUAGAAUUUUCCACCCCUGCUCUCUUCCUCUGCCUGGAUUUGUGAAAAAUGGAUUUGUGAUGUCUGCAAAAGGUUAUGCUGAUUUCACGAUGUCUUUACGUAAGGGCUGCAGGGUUUUAAGGAAUCUAUUCCGCUGCUCCUGAACAUUUACCCCCAAAUAAUGCCAUCUUCCAUGUGUGGAAUACUAUCUUGUUCUUCAAACAGGUUUUGUGUACAUGAGUUACAUCAACCCUAGGAUGAUGGUUCUCAGCUAUUUUGGUCCCCAAAUUAUGUUCUCUGUCCAGUGUUUGUUUAUAACAUCUUUUGGCAGACUUGAGCAGUUGGGGUUCCUCUGUAAGUUUUGUUCCCCUCAAGCGCUUUUUAGCAUUUUACUGCUGAAUCCUAGCAUCCCCAGGAAGUCCCGCAUAAAAUUAAAUAUUCCUGAAUUACCUUCGCUGGCCCUGCAUGUGUGUUUAUUGGAUGCAGAUGUGAUCUUUGUGCUUUGUGAAACUAAAAUGACACCAUUUCAAGCCAAAACUCCAAUGGAAGAAAUAGAAACCAUGGCUUUUUCACUUCCGAGAGUUCAGUUCUCUUAUCUCCGUGCUUCUUUUUCACAUUGAGGACUGAACUCCUUGGCUCUGGCCCUUUAAAACCAGACAUCUGCUGGACUUCGCUCUAUUGAGAACAUUAUUUUAUUCUGAAAGAAAGAACCCAAAUCCUGUCCCUCUAAGGUAACAUUAAGAAUUAAGUGGUAAUCAUAAAACACGUGAAGGCUUGAUUAAAGGUAGUAAAAGAACUGUUGACUUUCCUCAACUGUCUGUUUAAUGAAAGACUUUAAUGUUUUGCAUCCUGUGUUUCUCUUUUUAUCAGCACAUACUUUCUAUAACGCAAACUGUUAUUACACUCCAGCAACUUCUGAGAAGGUGCCCAGACCACAGAAGAUGAAAAGCUGGGAGCCAGUGCUGUUGUGUGUCAGACCUGUUAUGAAGAUUUAUCUGUUACCAGAAGUUUCUGUCCCCCUCUGAUAAUCACUGAGUUCGCGGCCAGAUGAACAUUUAGACCGUUUUAUUGUUUUCUUGUCAAUGAUUGCUAAGAUGUAUUGCCAAGGCCGUAAAUACUCUUUAUGAUGAGUCAGGAUUUCACUUCGUACUUCAAACUUUGAGCCUUAAUGACUUCAUGCCUUCAAAAUUAAAUCUUGCUGUCAUGGGAACCCGUCACUCCAGGCUUCUUCAACAAUUCAUCUAGCCAAGGAAGAAAAAUUCACCCCAGUUUCACAGAGGUGGUGAGGGGGCAGGUUGGAAAUGGGAUAAAACAUUAACUGUUCGUCUUGUUUUGCGGGAAAAGAUCGGAGGAUUUUAAAUAUAUUUUUUCUGCAUUCAUGUCCAGAAAAAAAUCCCAUUUGUUAAUUCUAAACUUUACGCUUUCUGUAAGUGUAACCUACUAAUUAACUGAUAUCAAAUUUAUGUGAGCCAGAGUUUCAGUUAAAGACUAUAUUAUAAAUCAAUUAUAUUCUGGGGGAAAAAAAAAGGAAGAGGGCAGCUUUUUUCAUAAAGCCCACUUGCAAACUUGAGUGUCUGUGAGAAUUUUGUAUGAAACGCCUUGAGGAGAAGGUGACCCUUGCAGGCCCUCUCCCCUCUCCAGACAGACAGUGAUCUGGCAUCUUCUUUUCCUGUCCUAGCCCGUCCUGGGGCAGUCUGAGUGCACGUCAGUCCCCUUGGUGUGAUAGUCCCAUCGGUUCAUCUUCCUUCUUGCCAGGCAGCAGCACCUCCGAGAGGUCACACAUACUGCUGGCCGCCUGGGGACAGGGCCGG
This 4965-nucleotide long non-coding RNA is filed under the name Equus caballus (horse). The record is from RNAcentral. Lineage: Eukaryota; Metazoa; Chordata; Mammalia; Perissodactyla; Equidae.